GGGUCAUUAGGUUGGUCGUGCCACCCGUUCGUACUGGUCUCACUGAUUCCUCCUUCCUGAAGAACCGUAAUGCCAUUAAUUUGGUGUUGCGGGGAAACAGGACUGUUACUUUGAAAAAAUUAGAGUGAUUAAAGCAAGCUAACGCUUGAAUACAUUAGCAUGGAAUAAUGAAAUAGGACGAUCGAUCCUAUUUUGUUGGUUUCUAGGAUUGACGUA
This 216-nucleotide ribosomal RNA is filed under the name Glomeromycotina sp. RNAcentral describes it as "partial small subunit ribosomal RNA". The stretch from base 40 to 216 matches the Rfam family "Eukaryotic small subunit ribosomal RNA", at positions 686 to 864 of the family's 1831-position model. Lineage: Eukaryota; Fungi; Glomeromycota. The record is from RNAcentral.